This 10445-nucleotide long non-coding RNA is filed under the name Salmo salar (Atlantic salmon). RNAcentral's name for it is "lncRNA (ENSSSAG00000100094.1)". The stretch from base 747 to 800 matches the Rfam family "UnaL2 LINE 3' element". Lineage: Eukaryota; Metazoa; Chordata; Actinopteri; Salmoniformes; Salmonidae. The record is from RNAcentral.
UGGGACAUCAUCUUUCCAUGGCUCUUGUUCGGUCAGAUCUCCCUCCAGAAGACUCAAAACACUUUGUAAAGGCUGGUGACAUCUAGUGGAAGCAAUAGGAAGUGCCAAAAUAUUCCUAAACCCCUGUGUUUUUCAAUGGGAUAGGUUUAAAGUCAAUACAACACAUCAGACGUGCAAAUGCUGCCCCCUAGACCCAACAGGUUAAGGCACCCACAUGCCAAGAUACACAUGAUUGUGUCAACAGGAUGCUGUUUUCCUCCAUUCAACUUCAAGCUAUCUGUUACAUAAAGGGGAGUUAGAUUGACAUUUAUGUGGGCUCUCCUGGAUCGGUUCAGGAUACACGUCAUUAAGAACAGCCCUGUGUAUGCUGAGAAAAGGUACCCACCGGUAGGAUACUUCAUCUUAGGCGGUGGAGGCUGUCCCUGCAACAGCCCAUCUAUAAUGACCCCAUUCCGGGAGCCGGUGCAAAGUACAAUCCAGAAACGCUACAACAAGCAGCAUUCAAAGGCAUCAUCGAGAGGACCUUUGGGAUGUUGAAGACACGUUGGAGGAGCAUCUUCUUCAAGGCCUUGGAAGUUCAACACACGUUUGUGCCGAGGGUCAUCUGUGCUUGUGCAGUUUUGCACAACAUCUGCAUGGGGGUUGGGGACCUUGAGGAACUAGACCCAGAGAUGCAGAGAGAUGUUGCCACGGGGGGCCAGCACAGAUAAAAAAUGUAUGAAAUGUAUGAAAUUGUAUGAAAUGUAUGCAUUCACUACUGUAAGUCGCUCUGGAUAAGAGCGUUUGCUAAAUGACGUAAAAAAAUGUAAAAUGUUGUGAACGCCAGACCAGCACCAAGGCAGGGCCCAAAUGAAGCAAGCUGGGAUGCCCAAAGGAACAACUUGGCAGGACGCAUUUCAGUACCUGUCCAAGUUCCUCCCCAUCUAGCUGACCAUAACUACAAUCAAGCUGUUCAAAUCACCCCCUUGGUCUCAUUCACGUUGAAAUGUGUUCUUUCCAGUCAUUGUUUACAUUUAAAGUAGUGGUAUCCAGUCUUAUCCACAAAGGGUCAGUGUGGUUCCAAGCAUUCCUUUCAACCAUUCCAUCACACACAUGAUUCACCUUGUCAAAGUCUCCUGUCAAGACUAAGUUGUUGAAUCAGAGAUGUGACUUACUGGUUGGAGGGAAAGCUUGUACCCACACUGGCCCUUUGUAGAUAAAACUGGAAACCGCUGCUUUAAAGUCACUUGUUUGCAUAAGUAACCUGUUUUCAUCAAGCUGUAGUUUCAUUUCAGAUACUUUUGGGCAUUUCUGCAAAACAUGAAUUCACAGGAAGUAUAAAGUAACUAACUAUCCUAGUUGUUUAAAACAUGUUAAAAAUUACACACCGACAAGCAGAUAUUAUAUAAAACACUUCAAUGUGUUAUUAACAAAUUAAUGUGACUGGUCAAUUGUGUGAGUCAGGGGCUGGGUCUAAACCCAAGAGGCAAAACAAAUAAAAACAAAAACUGUUAUCCAACCACAGGACCCCGCUCUCAAUGUUUAAAAUACACCAGAGAGCAUAAUUUAGCCACAGUGAAUCAAUAGUUAAUAAAAAAUAUCUGUGGAUUAAGUUUUUAUCACAAGCGCAUACAGGUAUCUGACAAAAUUAAGGAGACACUAACAUAACGUGUCUUAAAAGGGUGCUAGGCCACCACGAGCUGCCAGAAUAGCUUCAAUGCGCAUUGGCAUAGAUUUUUUACAAGUGGUGCUAAACCAUGCAAAGAAAAUGCACCCCACACCAUAACAUAUACUUUGUGUCCCUCAUUUACUCAAGUGUUUCCUUAAUUUUGUCUCAUACCGGUUUGCCUAUAGUUGGGAAGGCUGCAGGUUAACCUCUUACAUCGAGGUUUUUGCCUGCCAUAUGAGUUCUGUUAUACUCACAGACAUCAUUCAAACAGUUUUAGAAACUUCAGAGUGUUUUCUAUCCAAAUAUACUAAUAAUAUGCAUAUCCUACCUUCUGAGUCUGAGCAGGAGGCAGUUUAAUUUGGGUACGUUUUUCUUCCGGCCGUGAAAAUACUGCCCCCUAUAGUGAAGAGGUUAAGCAGCAUGCACAUCAAAUGUACAGCUUGUUGCAUUGGGACCAUAGACAUAUAAUGGAUGGAAGGGUUUUGUAACCUCUUACCCUGGUAAUUUGACACUUAAACUCAUAGACACACUAGCAAUGGAUACCAGUCCUGACUUGAUUGGGAAAAGACAUUUAUGGAUUAUAUUUCUAUGGUUGGUUGCAGCUGUUGGUUUGCCUUUUUCAGAUUUCAAAAUACAAUCGCGGGAAAAAGGUAGUUUGGAGAAAAAAAUUACUAUUGCUGAAAAGGCAAGAUUAAUCUGUCUGUAGAACCAAUUUUUGCUAACAGCAGCACUGUUUUUAAAAGUAGCUCAUCUUGAGACGAGCGCAUCGGCCAUCACCAUGAGUAGCCUAUGGCUUCAUCUUCAUCAUUAGGAGAAUCAGUGUGCCACUGGAGAUUUUCUUUAGUAGCUUACUGUAGCCUAUGAUAUAUAUGUACUGUAUAUAUAUAUAUCCUCCUAAUAUUGUACAAUACGUGUGUCACUUCAUUGGCUUGGGCUAUUGUUUGUUUGAAUUCAAGACCAGAUUGAUCUCAGUUUGUCAGUCAGAGUAGCCACUCAUUUUGGUAAUUUGCAUGGUAUUAAAAAAGAUUCAGCUAAUGUCUUCUGUCAUGUAUUUUUUUCCCGAACCCUGCUAAAAACAAUCCCCAUGUGUGGAAAUCCUAAAAACGCCUUUAUUUAUUUAUUUUAUUUCACCUUUAUUUAACCAGGUAGGCCAGCUGAGAACAAGUUCUCAUUUACAACUGCGACCUGGCCAAGAUAAAGCAAAGCAAAAGAUAAAGCAAAGCAAAAACAACACAGAGUUACACAUGGGAUAAACAAACGUACAGUCAAUAACACAAUAGAAAAAUCUAUAUACAGUGUGUGCAAAUGUAGUAAGAUUAGGGAGGUAAGGCAAUAAAUAGUCCAUAGGCGCGAAAUAAUUACAAUUUAGCAAUUAAACACUGGAGUGAUAAACACUGGAGCCUCUCUACUCAACUGUAGCCUAUGCCACAUGGCAAACUUUACUAUGGCUUUAUUAUAAAAGGGCUUUUUCUUAUACAGUAAAUUUAUCCCGGAUCUAGCUUUUGAAAAGUUAAGGGAGACUUGUCAGAACCAAACAAUAGGAUGCAUGGAGGAAAGUGUGAGGGUAGAGCGAGACCAACUUUUCAAAGAGCUUACUUUUCUAUACUCAAGGGGAGAGAGUGCACUAUUCAAUUCUCAAUACUACUGUUUUCAAUUUCAUAAAGCAGUUUGUGUUUCUUAACCAGGCAAAACUAAAUAGUAGGCUGGUGACGGGUAUUUACGGGGAAGCAAGAUGCACAAUGUGUAGCCCAUGACCGGAGAAAGAGCAGGAGUGCAGCCUGCCUGUCUGCCCACACAUUGCUUGCUUUGCUGCAUCAGCUGGUGAGCUGCUGUGUGUGCAGGUGUGGCGGGUCCUUCCCACUGUUAAAGAACAGAAAUCUCGCUGCUCUGCACACCCAGUGCUGCUAAUAUUCUGCUUAUCAUAGUAGUCUAUCCAGUGCAAAUACAAGUCAAGUCCAAGUCAUCAAUGGACUCGAGUCGAGUCCAAGUCCUGGACUCGAGUACUACAACACUAAUUAGUACUAUCUUAGAGGAAGGGCACAGCUCCCUCUACUAACUCCCAUUUUCUUACCAACUAUUUUAUUGACAUAUUUAUUUUUCUUCGUUUUUUGUGUAUUGUCUGUGUUCUGUUAUGUAUUGUAUUUCUUUGUUCUGUUUGUUUGCUCUCCCCAAUCAGAAAAAAAUAAGAAAAAGAAAAACAUUGAAAAUUGAGAACAAGUUGCAACUUAAUAACCUUCAAGGCAUUUGUAAUAUUCAUAUGUGUAAACAUACUGAAUUAUAAAUGAAUGCAUUUUACCGCCAUAUCAUAUCAUACUGUGCUAUGAUUGGUUAAGACCACCCAAAUGGUUAGGUCAUGGUCAGUUGAUCAUGGUUGGAGAUAUGUGAACAUGACAGUUGUAGCUAGCUAAUAAAGAGCUACGUUAAGAAAUAUCCUGUAGUACUGCAUUUUAUUAUUUUGUACAAAGCGUGCAAAACAAGACAUGGUGUCAGAGUAAAAGGUCUUAAAAAAUGGAUUUUUCUGGAGUUCCUUCACCUCGAAUGGACUGGGAGUCUACAAACUUACCCGAUGCAUGGCGUAAGUACAAACAGCAUGUGGAGCUAAUGUUCACGGGUCCUCUGAAGGACAGAGGAGAAGAGGAAAAGUGCAGCUACCUGCUCCUCUGGAUCGGUGAAAAAGGGAGAGAUAUUUACAACACAUGGACACUUACCGAGGCUGAUUCAAAGGUACAAAAAAAAUACUACGAUCGUUUUGAAGCAUAUGUUGUGCCGAAGACCAAUACGAUUUUCGCUAGGUACAAAUUCCAUGAGAAAGUACAGGGAGCUAGCGAGUCUUUUGAACAGUUUGUGACUGAGCUGCGUCUGCUUGUGAAAGACUGUGAUUUUAUGCAAACAAGGAUGAGAUGGUCAGGGACCGUAUUGUAUUUGGAAUACACUCACCGUGAGUGAGAGGGACAUUUUUGAAUAUUGGGUCUGAGCUAACGCUGGACAAAGUUAUCGACAUAUCCAGAUCUCACGAGCUGGCACAGGCUCAGAUCAAAACCAUUUCGCGCGGCAGCACGAGCGCAUCACGUGAACACACAGACAUCAAAGCACACCUCCGGUGCACAGAUAGCGCGUUUUAGAACUGGGAGAGACAUAACUCCAAAACAGAGCGACACAGACUCAAAACGCCCCAAAACAUGUGGAUACAAAGUGUAUGGCGAACAAGGAAAUUGCCCAGCUAAAGGCAAACAGUGUACUAAAUGUGGUAAAUGGAAUCACUUUGCAAAAGUGUGCAGAGCUUACCGUGGAAAAACAGUACACACAGUGAGUGAAGAUGAAAUGGCAAUCAAAGAGUCAAACGCUGAUGAACUGUUUAUUGAUUCAGUGACACAGAAAAGUGAAAUAUCAGAGACAGAGCAAGCCUUUGUUGACAUUGAGAUAGGAACACAAGGCACAGAGCUAAAGUUCAAACCAGACACUGGUGCACAAGUAAACAUUAUACCUCUGAAUAAGUACCGCAACUUGACAUCUGAGUGCGAGCUACAGCCCACCAUGCGCAGACUGACUGGUUAUGGUGGUAAACAGCUCCCAGUAAAAGGCACAUGCACUUUCAAAUACAAAUGCAAAUACAAGGAAAGUGACAUGAUGUUGGACUUUUACGUCGUUGACACUAGAGCACCUGCAGUGCUAGGUCUUAAAGCAUGUUUAGACAUGGACCUCAUCAAGCUAGUUUUAUCAGUGACAGCACCAGUAGAGACAGAAAAUGUACUGGAGGAGUUUGCUGAUGUUUUUACAGGAAUAGGAUUAUUCCCAGAAGAAUGUACCAUUCACCUUGACCCAGACGCAACCCCUGUGGUCUACCCACCGAGAAAGAUUCCCCUUGCUCUCCGUGCCCGCCUGAAGAAAGAGUUGGAGAGCAUGGAGCAAUCUGACAUAGUCACCAAGGUUACAGAACCGACUGACUGGCAAAACGCUUUAGUGGUGGUGGAGAAACCAUGCACAGGCAAGCUCGAGUAUGCCUUGACCGAAGAGACUUGAACAAGGCUAUCAAAUGCCCCCAUUAUCCUUUACCGACACUAGAUGGCAUCACACACAAGCUAGUGGGAGCACACUACUUCAGUGUCAUGGACGCUACAGGUUCCGUCGCCUGCCUUUUGGGAUUAUCUCACCCCAAGACGAGUUUCAGCGAAAGUUUGACAAAGUGUACUGAGGCCUAGACGGAGUUGUGGCAAUUGUGGACGACAUCGUUGUCUAUGGUCGAACUAAAGAGGAGCACGACCGAAACCUUCUGAGCGAUGCUGCAAAGGUCCCGCGAGAGAGGAGUCUGGCUCAACCCUGAGAAGAGCACAGUCGGCGCUACAGAGGUCAGCUACUUCGGACAUCUUCUCACAGCGACUUGAAUCAAGCCAGAUCCACAGAAUAUCUCAGCCAUAAAAGAAAUGGAGCCACCAAAGAACCGUGCAGAGCUGGAAACUGUGUUUGGCAUGGUCAACUACUUAGCCAAGUUCGCACCCAGCCUCUCCAAUGCUAAUGCACCCCUGCGUCAACUGCUAAAGCAGUCCAGUGAGUUUCUCUGGCCCAAGCAACACAACAUUGCUUUCCAGAAUGUGAACGACAUGAUCACGAGAGAACCAGGACCAAUCCUUGCCUACUACGACCCCAACAAAGAGCUCAGACUCCAAGUGGACACGUCAAAGUAUGGACUAGGUGCAGUGCUACUGCAAGAAGGAAAGCCCAUCUGCUACGCUUCCAAAUCUCUCACAGACUGUGAAAUCAACUACGCUCAAAUCGAAAAAAGGAGCUCUACGCCAUUCUGUUCGGAUGUAAACGUUUCCAUCAGUACGUAUAUGGAUGACAAGUCAUUGUGGAAUCUGACCACAAGCCCCUUGAGUCAAUCAUGAGGAAACCACUACCCGCAGCCCCGCCAAGGCUACAGAGAAUGAUCCUUCAACUACAAAAAUACGACUUCUCAAUCACUCACCGCCCAGGCAAAGACAUCCCUGACACAGACACUCUCCCCAGGAAGUUUCUUACCUAUAAGGACAGCAGCCACAGUGAAGGCAUGGACAUGCAAGUGCACACUGUGUAAAGCAACUUACCAGUUAGUGACACAAAACUGAAGGAGAUCCAAGCAGAAACAGAAAAGGACUCACAACUCACACAGCUGAGGAAAGUCAUACAGAUGAAGGCCUGAGGAGAGGAGAAAAUGCCCUCAGAGCGUCUCAGAAUUCUGGAACCAUCGUGAUGAACUAUCACAGAUCAACAGAAUAAUUUUCAAAGGAGAGAAAAUCAUUAUUCCCACCAGUCUCAGAGAAGAGAUUUUGACAAAGAUCCAUGCUGGACACAUGGGCAUGGAAAAGUGCAAACAGAGAGCACGGGACAUUUUGUUUUGGCCCGGAAUGUGCAAACAAAUAGAGGACAUUGUUGGUAAAUGCGCCAUAUGUCUUGAACGACGCCCCUCAAACACCAAAGAGCCAAUGUUACCUCACUGUAUCCCAGACCGACCCUGGCAGGUCGUGGCAACCGAUCUAUUCACCUGGAACAACGAGGACUACAUCGUAACAGUGGACUACUACAGCAGAUACUUCGAACUCGACAAGCUUCACAGCACCACAUCUGCAGCUGUGAUACACAAGCUGAAAGCAGCCUUUGCCAGGCAUGGCAUUGUAGAGACUUUAAUAUCUGACAAUGGGCCCUGUUACAAAUCAAAUGAGUUUGAAUCCUUCACAAAAGCAUGGGAGUUUACACGACACCAAAAGCCCACAUUACCCUCAAAGUAAUGGCCUUGCUGAAAAAUCUGUGCAGAUUGCUAAAUCACUUCCCAGCACCAACCAGCAGCUGCAACCUGAGGUCGUCAGCUACAAGGAAAUGCAUGAAAACGUGCACAGAGACAACAACAAAAGCGAUACUACGACAGGUCAGGUAGACCACUGCCACCACUGAUCGACGGAGAGUCUGUUAGAAUCCAGGAGCAUGGCCUCUGGAAGCCAGCAGUCGUCAUCCAGCCAGCUGACACUGAACGUUCAUAUCACGUCCGCACCGCAGAAGGAGAGGUGUACCGCCGUAAUCGUCGUCACCCACUGAACACAAAAGAACAACACACUGAUGAGAUGAACUGUUCCCCUGAAAGAGAACGUGAUGGACUAAACACACACACAGCACAACAUACACCAUACUUACCUGCAACACCACAAGAACUGUUGACAGACACAGAAGCAUGCUCAGCAUCAUAUCACACAAGGUCAGUAAGAGAGGUCAAGCCAAGAGCUGUCCUAGACCUGUGAAAUGUCAAAGGGUGUAGGCGGAUCGCUGCCCUAAAAGAGUUCCAGACUGUAAACUUGUUAUUGAAAGUUCACUUGAAAUGCUUUGGUAUUGUAUUUAUUUGAAAUGUUAAGAUGUCAUUUCUACUGUGAAAGCUGAGUUGCUGAGAAUCCCUUGUUCGAAAAGUAACAGUAUAUUGGAUCAUUGUUUCAGAGUCUAAGUUGAUUCAGUUGGUGUAGAAUGCAAUAUAAAUGGUUACUUACCUUGAGUUCAAACUGCAGAACAUGUUUUCAAAAGAAACACUUAGAAUAUGUAAACAUUUUCUUUUGUUUUAAAAGAAGGCGGAUGUAAUAUUCAUAUGUGUAAACAUACUGAAUUAUAAUUGGAUGCAUUUUACCGCUGUAUCAUACUGUGUUAUGAUUGGUUAAGACCACCCAGAUGGUUAGGUCAUGGUCAGUUGAUCAUGGUUGGAGAUACGUGAACAUGACAGUUGUAGCUAGCUAAUAAAGAGCUACGUUAAGAAAUAUCCUGUAGUACUGCAUUUUAUUAUUUUGUACAAAGCAUGCAAAAUAAGACAGCAUUUACAGUUGUAUUUUUAAAAAACAUUGUAAAUUGUAAGUAAGCAACAGAUUAAUUUAACAUUCUUUACCUUUCUAAAGAUGUAAGACAUGUUACCUUGACAACAACAUCAAAAUGUGCAUAAAAAUAGAAUGCGUAAAAUGCUGAAUUCUUGGCUGACAUGUCGACUAAUUGGCUUGAAUUUGUAUGCAUGUAUGAUUCUAUCUUUACAUUUCCAUGGAAUUCUCCAAUAUCUGUGCCGUUGAGUAAAUUACUCUGAUUUGUAGAUAGGAGUAGGAGUAGAUGUUUACUUGAGGAGGAGGAGAAGAGAGGGAGGAGAAAGAGAGAGGUCAGGAAGGAGGGACAACAAGCAACAUCUACUGUAUGUGUGUUCCUAAGAAAUGUGAACAUUUCUUUUACUAGAAUGUUCUAAACAUGUUCAAAAUAACACAGAAUUAAAUAGAGCUCUAAUUCAAUGUAUCUCUGUGUGAGUAAACCACUGGAAAACAUUUACCUUCAUAACAAUAUGAACUUGAUCUAACAUAACCACAAUUUUCCUUCCCUUCUUCAGCUUUCUACUUCUGUUUAAGAGUCACUGUUAAACACUUGUUUUUCCAACAAUGCUUUGCAACACAAUGCAUCCAUGAUGCCUAUAGUGCAGUCUUAUGACUCCCAUAGGGAGUGGAUGGACAGAAAUGCAGAUUGUGUCUGGCAUGAUGUGUCAUAUUUAAUUGUUGAUUGUCACUAUUGUACAUGUCACAUAUACAGAAGUCGCCCCCUGAGUGAUGGUUACCUGUCGUAUGUAACCGACAGAUGACAUAGCAAUGUGUUUCUGAGUGAAGGAAGGCGUCAACACUACAUGUUCUACUCUUCUCCCACAACACUUUGGAGAUGCAUUUAUCUGCCCGCUUACUUCGUUCUGAUUAGUGUCUUGUUUAGUUUUCAAGGCUGUUGUCUUCUCCCUUUGUCAUAACAGAGAAUAACCUCAUCUGCCUUUCAAAUUGAUGUUGCAUGAUGUUUUCUCCACCCAACAUUGUUAACUAAGAGGCCUCCCUUCUUAUUAUAAUGUGGAAGCUGCCUGUUUGGCAAACUACCCUACAGUAGGACUACCGGAAUAAACAGUAAUAUUCUCACUAUUUGAUAAGUGACUCACUCCUUCCCGCCUCAGAAUCUCGGCCUCCGUUGACUCUGUAGAUGUUGGAAACAUAUGGCGCCAUGUGCUGCUUUUUAACCUUGAUCCUCAAAAUGCCAGGAAAAUAAAACUCCCUCUGUUUUGUUUUUCUCCCUUCACGCUAAAGUUGCCGGGCGUCCAAUCCUAUUUGCAUGCAGUGUCACCAGGGCGACGGAUAACGUUCUGUUGUUGUUGAGGUGGACUGCCGCUUCCUCCCUCCCUCCUUCCCUCCAUCCCUCCAUCCCCCCUUCACCUGCAACAGCUGUUUUCCCUCUGGUGUCACUGACUUGGCAUCACGCUUUCAAGGUUGACAGGCCACAACGCCUCCUCAUUCCCUCCUGCUUUUCCAAACUCUCCAGUGAUUUCUUCCCUUCCCCCUUGUUCAAUUUCCGUUAAGACUAAUCAAACAGCCCAGACAUGUUUGCUAUUGACUUAGGUGAAGGGAAUUGAGGAGUCCUACUUCUGAGGGCAGUUCUCUAACAGUGGAGAAUGGAAGUAGUCAUUGAAAUGAUUGAUAAUGACCUUUAUCCCUAUGUGUGAUUGGUAACAUACUGGCCCCAUCAUUUCAUCCACCAGCAGUAAACACACAGACACCAUAGAGGUUUAAUUCCAUAUUUCAAUAAAUUCAGGGGAGAAAGGUCAUUAAUCAUGAUAAGGGUAUAGCGAUGGGGAGGGGGUGGAGAGUAGCAAGCCACACCAGGGGUGUGGUGUGAUUUAUUGUUCCCGGGGUACAAAGCCUUGUUCAACAUGGCCCACCAUGAAUCUUCAGCACCCACCACCAUCCACAUACAUUAGACCCCCCUAUUCCCUUGCCCAAACGUUCUA